Molecule: ribosomal RNA, 1491 nt
Filed under: uncultured organism
Description: SSU rRNA
Rfam family: Bacterial small subunit ribosomal RNA
Source: RNAcentral
AACGCUGGCGGCGUGCCUAAUACAUGCAAGUCGAACGAGUUCUGAUUAUUGAAAGGUGCUUGCAUCUUGAUUUUAAUUUUGAACGAGUGGCGGACGGGUGAGUAACACGUGGGUAACCUGCCCUUAAGUGGGGGAUAACAUUUGGAAACAGAUGCUAAUACCGCAUAAAUCCAAGAACCGCAUGGUUCUUGGCUGAAAGAUGGCGUAAGCUAUCGCUUUUGGAUGGACCCGCGGCGUAUUAGCUAGUUGGUGAGGUAACGGCUCACCAAGGCAAUGAUACGUAGCCGAACUGAGAGGUUGAUCGGCCACAUUGGGACUGAGACACGGCCCAAACUCCUACGGGAGGCAGCAGUAGGGAAUCUUCCACAAUGGACGCAAGUCUGAUGGAGCAACGCCGCGUGAGUGAAGAAGGCUUUCGGGUCGUAAAACUCUGUUGUUGGAGAAGAAUGGUCGGCAGAGUAACUGUUGUCGGCGUGACGGUAUCCAACCAGAAAGCCACGGCUAACUACGUGCCAGCAGCCGCGGUAAUACGUAGGUGGCAAGCGUUAUCCGGAUUUAUUGGGCGUAAAGCGAGCGCAGGCGGUUUUUUAAGUCUGAUGUGAAAGCCCUCGGCUUAACCGAGGAAGUGCAUCGGAAACUGGGAAACUUGAGUGCAGAAGAGGACAGUGGAACUCCAUGUGUAGCGGUGAAAUGCGUAGAUAUAUGGAAGAACACCAGUGGCGAAGGCGGCUGUCUGGUCUGUAACUGACGCUGAGGCUCGAAAGCAUGGGUAGCGAACAGGAUUAGAUACCCUGGUAGUCCAUGCCGUAAACGAUGAAUGCUAGGUGUUGGAGGGUUUCCGCCCUUCAGUGCCGCAGCUAACGCAUUAAGCAUUCCGCCUGGGGAGUACGACCGCAAGGUUGAAACUCAAAGGAAUUGACGGGGGCCCGCACAAGCGGUGGAGCAUGUGGUUUAAUUCGAAGCAACGCGAAGAACCUUACCAGGUCUUGACAUCUUUUGAUCACCUGAGAGAUCAGGUUUCCCCUUCGGGGGCAAAAUGACAGGUGGUGCAUGGUUGUCGUCAGCUCGUGUCGUGAGAUGUUGGGUUAAGUCCCGCAACGAGCGCAACCCUUAUGACUAGUUGCCAGCAUUUAGUUGGGCACUCUAGUAAGACUGCCGGUGACAAACCGGAGGAAGGUGGGGAUGACGUCAAAUCAUCAUGCCCCUUAUGACCUGGGCUACACACGUGCUACAAUGGAUGGUACAACGAGUUGCGAGACCGCGAGGUCAAGCUAAUCUCUUAAAGCCAUUCUCAGUUCGGACUGUAGGCUGCAACUCGCCUACACGAAGUCGGAAUCGCUAGUAAUCGCGGAUCAGCACGCCGCGGUGAAUACGUUCCCGGGCCUUGUACACACCGCCCGUCACACCAUGAGAGUUUGUAACACCCGAAGCCGGUGGCGUAACCCUUUUAGGGAGCGAGCCGUCUAAGGUGGGACAAAUGAUUAGGGUGAA